GGUUGUUGAUAACUGGUGUUUGUUCAGCUAAUUUCAUUAUUUCUUUUAUAGCCAUUAUUGUGUUAUCAUGGUCUUUGAUGUGAACAAAAGCAAACUGUUAUUUUUACAACAUCCAGUAAAAAUACCCAUAUUGUAAAUCUCACGGGUACUACUGCUCUAAUGUUUGGUCAAGAAUGCAUCUAGUGGAUAAUCAAACUAGUGGUUUCACUCAAUUGAUUUUUGCAUAUAUAGGUAGGAGUACCUAGAGAUUGAGCUGGAGACAGUGGAGGCGCUGACCUCUGUGUGGAACACGUAGAAGCUGGCAAGUUUUCAUAUUGAAGGGCAUGGUUCCCAACCGCCCAUCACACACAGAAUGUAGCUUGUCGUCUUCCGCAGUAAAAACUGGGUGCUGGAAGAUGCUUACUGCUAUAUUGACUGCUUCCGAGCGCUUCCUGAACCUAAAAAUUAUCUCCCAGCAGCAACCUCCCCAAGGUGUGACGAGAGUCUUCAAGUGUUCCAGACGGCUGGUGAUGCAUUUCAAGAAAAGCCAUCAGAAUCUUGCAAUGAUCUGUAUACUUAUAAAUGACAAAACAACAACACUGUAUUGUUAUUAUUUUUUAAUACAUAACUUCCAUAUUUGCCAAAAAGGUAUAUGAUGG
Long non-coding RNA from Dreissena polymorpha, 638 nucleotides. RefSeq lists it as uncharacterized. NCBI's taxonomy places the organism in Eukaryota, Metazoa, Mollusca, Bivalvia, Myida, Dreissenidae. The transcript is spliced from 3 exons. The record is from RefSeq and is a predicted model, not a curated record.